ACAUACGACCAUAGGGUGUGGAAAAUAGGGCUUCCCGUCCGCUCAGCCGUACUCAAGCCACACGCCGGGAGGUUAGUAGUUGGGUGGGUGACCACCAGCGAAUCCCUUCUGUUGUAUGU
Molecule: ribosomal RNA, 119 nt
Filed under: Aspergillus niger
Lineage: Eukaryota; Fungi; Ascomycota; Eurotiomycetes; Eurotiales; Aspergillaceae
Source: RNAcentral